This 405-nucleotide ribosomal RNA is filed under the name Triticum aestivum (bread wheat). Its description in RNAcentral is "partial small subunit ribosomal RNA". Lineage: Eukaryota; Viridiplantae; Streptophyta; Magnoliopsida; Poales; Poaceae. The record is from RNAcentral.
AUGUCACUUUAUGUUGAAAGCUUCAACAUCGAGAAAAUGUAUAGCAAAAGCAAACCUAGGAAGUUUGCGUUCUCACCGCAUACAGCCUCCAAGCUUGCCGUGGACCCAAGCUCAUUUCAGACAUGUUCUUGCAGCAAAGAUCUUGAGAGGGCCUGUGAAAGAAACAACAUCAUGAAAUCUGAUCAAUUGUUCUUCACCAUUGUCAAGGACGGACACUGGGCAGUUGUGGUUGCAAACUUGAUGCACAAACAAUUCAACGUCUUUGACUCGAGGGGUGAUGACCCUGACUAUGUCAGCAUCCUUGAGAAGCCAUGUUGCAAUCUGAUAUGGACGCUACACCUCUUUCCUUUCUCUUUUUUAAUUUUUUCUCUAUAUAAAUUUUGUUGUUUGUGGUACCAAUCAUAG